UUCAUCUAUUUAUGGCACCUAAAGUAAUAAGGGUGACGAAAAUAACGGUAACGUAACAUUUUUAAGUUGUGCUUUCUAAAAAUAAAUUUCAAAAAGUUUAUCAUUUUCCGAGAGAUUGAGUGUAUUACGUGAUCACUUUAACUGUAUUUCAAGAAGAAAACCACUGUCGUUGGUGAGAAGUUGGAAGAUAGAGGAAAAAUUGAAUGUAUAUCUGUACGCAACGGUUAACCAUUGUCAACGAAAACACGAUUCUGAACAAAAUUCGGUCAAUAGAAUCGCUUUGGCAACAAUAUUUAUGUCAUAUUAUGGUA
This is a non-coding RNA of Cinara cedri, 311 nucleotides long. Lineage: Eukaryota; Metazoa; Arthropoda; Insecta; Hemiptera; Aphididae. The record is from the annotation of a GenBank genome assembly.